Myotis lucifugus (little brown bat) is the source of this 293-nucleotide unclassified non-coding RNA. Its record names the gene 7SK. It matches the Rfam family "7SK RNA". Rfam says of the family: 7SK was discovered as an abundant small nuclear RNA in the mid-70s but a possible function has only recently been suggested. Two independent studies have found that 7SK RNA binds the CDK9/cyclin T complex (known as elongation factor P-TEFb). The record is from Ensembl. Lineage: Eukaryota; Metazoa; Chordata; Mammalia; Chiroptera; Vespertilionidae.
GGAUGUGAGGGCGAUCUGGCUGCGACAUCUGUCACCCCAUUGAUCGCCAGGGUUGAUUCGGCUGAUCUGGCUGGCUAGGCGGGUGUCCCCCUCCUCCCUCACCGAUCCAUGUGCGUCCCUCCCGAAGCUGCGCGCUCGGUCGAAGAGGACGACCUUCCCCCGCCAGGAGAGUACCGGUCUUCGGUCAAGGGUAUACGAGUAGCUGCGCUCCCCUGCUAGAACCUCCAAACAAGCUCAAAGAGGAAGGGAAAAGGAGAAAUAGAAACUUCAAUGAUGAGAGAGAAUUAUUAAUU